CUUUCCAGAGAUGGAUUGGUGCCUUCGGGAACUGUGAGACAGGUGCUGCAUGGCUGUCGUCAGCUCGUGUUGUGAAAUGUUGGGUUAAGUCCCGCAACGAGCGCAACCCUUAUCCUUUGUUGCCAGCGGUCCGGCCGGGAACUCAAAGGAGACUGCCAGUGAUAAACUGGAGGAAGGUGGGGAUGACGUCAAGUCAUCAUGGCCCUUACGACCAGGGCUACACACGUGCUACAAUGGCGCAUACAAAGAGAAGCGACCUCGCGAGAGCAAGCGGACCUCAUAAAGUGCGUCGUAGUCCGGAUUGGAGUCUGCAACUCGACUCCAUGAAGUCGGAAUCGCUAGUAAUCGUGGAUCAGAAUGCCACGGUGAAUACGUUCCCGGGCCUUGUACACACCGCCCGUCACACCAUGGGAGUGGGUUGCAAAAGAAGUAGGUAGCUUAACCUUCGGGAGGGCGCUUACCACUUUGUGGUUCAUGACUGGGGUGAAGUCGUAACAAGGUAACCGUAGGGGAACCUGCGGUUGGAUCACCUCCUUA
This 537-nucleotide ribosomal RNA is filed under the name Salmonella enterica subsp. enterica serovar Singapore. RNAcentral describes it as "bacterial SSU rRNA". It matches the Rfam family "Bacterial small subunit ribosomal RNA", at positions 996 to 1533 of the family's 1533-position model. Lineage: Bacteria; Pseudomonadati; Pseudomonadota; Gammaproteobacteria; Enterobacterales; Enterobacteriaceae. The record is from RNAcentral.